AAGGAGUCUAACAUAUGCGCAAGUAUUUGGGUGGCAAGCCCUUGGGCGAAAUGAAAGUGAAAUAGGUUUAGUUUUAUUACAAAAACCGGGCCAGGAAUAUGGAAUUUAUUACUUGUAAUGAGUUUACAAUUGAGCGUACAUGUUGGGACCCGAAAGAUGGUGAACUAUGCUUGAAUAGGGCGAAGCCAGAGGAAACUCUGGUGGAGGCUCGUAGCGGUUAUGGCGUGCAAAUCUUUCGUUGAAUUUGGGUAUAGGGGCGAAAGACUAAUCGAACCAUUUAGUAGCUGGUUCCCUC
This 295-nucleotide unclassified non-coding RNA is filed under the name uncultured fungus. RNAcentral's name for it is "partial contains 5.8S rRNA, ITS2 and 28S rRNA". It matches the Rfam family "Eukaryotic large subunit ribosomal RNA", at positions 668 to 961 of the family's 3401-position model. The record is from RNAcentral. Lineage: Eukaryota; Fungi.